AUGUAAAAUCAUGUGCGAGUAACAUUGGUCUAAUUAUAAACACGGCAGUCCGCCUGGUCUGUACACGUUCAUUACCUGCGCGUACGCCGCUCGAGUAAUUUGCGAUGCAGUUGCUCUUAGGUGCUUACGACCUAAACUAAAAAUACGUGGGGUCCGAUCAACGGCCAACUGGGCCAGUGAAGUAACCGUAGCUCAACGUCCCAAAUAUAGUCUGACAUCUCUACAUAGGCGGCUGCCGAUAGUUGGCAUCCGCAGCAAAGUGCAAGAGCACCGAGAGGAUAAUAGCGGCUGUCACCAAGAUUCCCUAACGACACGGCCGCCGUUCAACCGGCCGAUCCUUACGUCUAAUUUCGGUGCUACGCGAAACCCCUCGGCUCAUGGAAUCCGCCGUUUCCUAUCAAGGACCAAUUCGCUCGCGCGUGGUCGGAAAUUUCUGGACCGGCCGGUGGUGCACCCCGUUUAGCUCGCCGCGGCACCUCGUGGGCCGGUACCUCGACACCGUCUUCGCUCUCGCAUCCUUGAUGGUCGAUGCUUCGUCGCGGCGAAGGCGUGCUCGCGAUCGUAGAAAUCUUCGAACGGCGAGAGAGAUCGGCAUCCACAAAUUUAGACGUCGCGUUCGGGCCACGGGGAUUCGCGAUCGAACGGCUUAGAAUAAUUCGGGCCGCCGGCGAAUCUUUUAUUGGAGUAGGUUAUCAAGUUGAAGAAUCAAUUUAACCGUGGACCGUUCCGAAGGGAAAUUCGUGCCAGAAACUCGGGUUCGCGGCAGCCGCGAUAUUCCGCCGUGAACGCCGCCGAUAAACCUCGCGAACGGCCGCUGCCAAGACUCCCCGUGCACUUUGUUGUACGUUUGUUUUAAUUCAAUCCCCGACGACACGUGGAAGGGUUAUAAAUAAACGCUACGCGAUUGUUUGCACGUCGAUACAAAGUCGAUCAAUCGUUGGAGUUUGUAGUCGGCGAUAAAUGCUUCGGCGCGGACUAUAAAUGCCGAUAGCUAGAGACGGAACCGUUCCGUGCCCGGGAUAUUCGUCGUUGAUUCGCGCAAGCCUUAAAACGACGGUGCAAAUAGCGUUAACUCUCGCGGAAUAUCCAAUAUAAAUAACACGCGCGGAUCUCUCUGCACAAGCGCCGUCGCGUGUAUCCUUUUUCCGGGUUAUGAGUCUUUUCCCUCUAAAGCGGAACGCUUUCAAGGACACCGGAUCCUGCACCAAGAAAAUCCCGUUCGACCCGUUCAGUGGUCUGUAAAUGCUUAUCUGCCGGCAAGAAUAAAUUGGCGAAGAAAGAAACCUCCUUUACUAUAAAUACGUCCGUUAUCGCUUGCAUCUAGGGGGUGAUCUAUUAGUUUUCGUUCGCGCUGCGUGUUCGGUCCGCGACGACGCAUCCGUAUCUAUGCUAUUUUCGCAGUUUGCCGAAGUCGUCGCUUACGGAGUUAUCGGAGUGGUUACAGUCGCGCGCCUCAUCCUGUAUAAAAAAAGGAAAAGGGUCACGGUAAGGCCUGCUGUUGCCUUUCAUUACACGUGUUUACGACUCGAUGAAAGCAGCGAGGAAAUCUAUUUUUACGACGCGGAGUCCGUCUGUAAUCGAGCACGUGCCGACUGGAAGAAGGCUCGCCCUCGCCCUUGUCGGGCCUGUCCGGUGCCGUUUUCACUGUCGCGUUGGAGCAGGCUCGGGAAGGGUGGCCCGAGCCGCCGGCGGAGAAGCCGGGACCGAAAUUCUCGCGAUCGUUUCGAGAUGUAGAGCAAAAUCUGUUGGCAGACGUUCACGGUAGGCCGAAAGCUCGCGGCGACCGUCCGAGCCCGUGCGAUAUGCGAGCAAACGACAGGUAUUGUCCGCGGUCCUAAAUUAUUCAACGUUUUCUGCCGCUGGGGAGAAACUUUGGCAGGUUUCGAGCAACGCGACGUCGAGGAAACGCAGAAAACUCCCAUCUAUCAUGUCGAAACGCGUAACGCAAAAAUAGUCGCAAGGAUACACCGAGGUCGGACUUGGCGAGCGUGGACGUGGACGUGGACGUGGACGACGUCAAGGGUGCGCGGAUUAUCGGGACGCGUACGAGCUACGAAGCUGUGUUACCGUAAUCGCUGACACGCGCCAUCGUUCGUCUACUACGUAUUGAAGACUUUAACCAGUAUCGGUCAAGAUCGUUCCAAGAAGGAAUCCAAUUCACGAUGACUUUAUGCAAUUCACAAGUUCUGUAAAAUUACACAAAUUUGCGCGAUUGAAUUAAGCGCUGCUAUUUUUCGGACAAUCGAAGAACUAUUUUGCAUUGGAUUUCAGCGGGUUACCGUAAAUCUUGAGAAAAGGGGCCAUAAAAAUUUCAACGAAUGCGACUUCGUCGUGCUAAUGCGACUUCUCGUUUCGGACGAAACGAGAUGCAGUUUCAACGAGAAUCAGAUUUCUGAGAGAAACUACGACCAAUGACCGAACUAGAAUCGAUGGCGAGGUACUGAUCGAGAGGAUUCGCCGACAUCGCGGCAAGGAUGCGAGCCGUUUACGAUUGUUUCGGUACUCGGUACCAGCGAUUAAUCUCGAGGCACCCACGUACGCGAUGUCGGGUGGGUAGCAAGCGCACGUUUCUUCUCAUUGCAAACAGCUAUUUCCACUGUCGGCGACGCGCGACAGGUGCCUAUGCCCAUGCCAGCCAGCUAGAAGCUAGCUAGCUCUAGUCCCGCCGCGGGAUACUACAAUUCUCGGGCACGGAUUUCGAAACUGAAACGAAAACCCCGAGGUAUUUUCAAUCGUCUUCGUUGCUGGCAGUGCAUUCGGUUACUCCUCGGGGCGAUUCUUCGUCCUGGCCGGACCGAUAGGUGAAGGCAACCGAAUGCAUUUGCUCCUCGGCAUAUUUUUGGCGGGCAUGUGAGGCAAGAGUUUACGACGCGCACCAGGCACUUCGAAAUUUUUCGAAUUUAUUUCGGAGACCGUCGCAGGAGCAACUAGAAUGCAAUCUUCGAUGCAACUACGUACUUAAAAAGUAGUACUAAUAAUUAUUCUAAUAAUGAGAAAUUGUAACUUAAAUUAUACGUCGUCUUCUAAUAAUUGUUACAGUGUAUUAUAUUUUGAUAUUCGGUCGGGUGCAACGUAGGCCAAAAUAUUACAGAAUGUGGAUUAUUUUUAAUAAAAAAUAUCAACGUCCACGUACUUUUUAAAUUUUAAACUGUCCAUUGUAUCUUUCAUUACAGGGAGCUGCCAAUAAAGACAAUUAACAAGGCUGGUAGCUUAAAGCUGCCGAACCUGAAAA
Non-coding RNA from Megalopta genalis, 3232 nucleotides. Lineage: Eukaryota; Metazoa; Arthropoda; Insecta; Hymenoptera; Halictidae. The record is from RefSeq and is a predicted model, not a curated record.